AGUAGCAAAUAAAGUGAUUUAAAAGUGUGUUUGUUUGAGCGAAUAACAAAAGUAAAUUGAGUUGAAAAAGGUGAGUUUUUAUUUAAACAAAUGAAAUAAGUUUUAUUGUGAUCCCAGAAUAAAACAUUACAAUAUGAAAACUGAAAUGAUAAAUUUUGUAUCACUUCACAGUUUCACAGAUCGGUAAUUGACCCCCAAAGGUACUUUUAUAUAAACGAAUAUCGUUGAAACUACUUCGUUAUCUUUCAAAGGCGAUUACGAAUUACAAUAAUCGUUUUAUCGUUUGAAUUUCGUUAUUUUUUACACAUAAUCGCUCUUUCCCUUCAAGCAAGAAAACUGAGUUCAACAAAGAAACUCCGACCUCAGACCGCGAAAAUCGAAAUGAACACAAAAGUCGAACGAGAAUCGUGGUGAAAAAGUGCGAAAAGGAAAACACUAUAUGAUAGAGACAAGUGCAACCCCAUUUUACAAAAGAACAAACGUCAAAAUUAAUAAAACAAUAAAAAAAGUAAGUAAGCGAGUGGAAGCAAAAGUAAUAAUUCAAAAAAAUUUUAUAUAAAAAAUACUAUCAUCUCAUCUCUAAAAAAAGAGCAGCUGUCGAGGGUGGCCGAGGUUUGGGACCAGAUUUUGAAAAAAGAAGAUGUUUCGCGAAUAAAAACGCUAAAGUAGAUGUUGAAUCUCUGGCCUGUCAGUCGGAAGGAAUAAGAAGCGCCUGAAGGUUGGUGGAAUUCGCAAGACACAUUCCUGGAUUAGGGAGUUACGAUCAAGAUAUCGCCUUUGAAAAUGACGAAUAGGGUCUUAUGUACGCAGAGCUAGCAACUCGUAUGGAAGGAUUCUUAAAUAUUACGGUCAAUGCAUCUACUCUCCAAGUUCAUGCUAGAAAGCUCCGAGAGAAUUUGGACAUCCAUAGCAACUCAAACUACAGCAGCAACAACAAAUGAAAAUAAAUGAAAUGUAUUUUAUUGUAUUUAUUGUAAUUCCUUUUGCUACAAAAACAUUAUAAUAAAAAAAAAAACGAUUUCAGUGAAGAAAAUUAAUAAACAGGGAUUUUUUAAGUUAGAAAUGUCAAAUAUAUUCGAUACUCGAGUAUCGAUCGAUAUCUCAAUGCCGGAAGUCAUACGUUCCGACCUCGCCUCCGUUUUCUCGGAAUGGAGAUUUUCACCACACUAAUACAUAUGCAAUCGACUUCGCGGUGAUUAU
Long non-coding RNA from Episyrphus balteatus (marmalade hoverfly), 1200 nucleotides. RefSeq lists it as uncharacterized. The record is from RefSeq and is a predicted model, not a curated record. NCBI's taxonomy places the organism in Eukaryota, Metazoa, Arthropoda, Insecta, Diptera, Syrphidae. The transcript is spliced from 3 exons.